RNAcentral lists this ribosomal RNA (411 nucleotides) under uncultured bacterium. RNAcentral describes it as "bacterial SSU rRNA". It matches the Rfam family "Bacterial small subunit ribosomal RNA", at positions 128 to 518 of the family's 1533-position model. The record is from RNAcentral.
GCCCAUAAGAGGGGGAUAACAUCCGGAAACGGUGCUAAUACCGCAUAGUUUUCUUGAUCGCAUGAUUGAGAAAGGAAAGACGGCCUUUGUGCUGUCGACUUAUGGAUGGACCCGCGGCGUAUUAGUUAGUUGGUGAGGUAAUGGCUCACCAAGACGAUGAUACGUAGCCGACCUGAGAGGGUGAUCGGCCACAUUCGGGACUGAGACACGGCCCAAACUCCUACGGGAGGCAGCAGUAGGGAAUCUUCCGCAAUGGACGAAAGUCUGACGGAGCAACGCCGCGUGAGUGAAGAAAAGGUUUUUCGGAUCGUAAAACUCUGUUGUCAGAGAAGAACAAGUUUGGAGAGUAACUGCUCCAGCCUUGACGGUAUCUGACCAGAAAGCCACGGCUAACUACGUGCCAGCCGCAGC